RNAcentral lists this unclassified non-coding RNA (335 nucleotides) under soil metagenome. RNAcentral describes it as "partial contains 5.8S ribosomal RNA, internal transcribed spacer 2, and large subunit ribosomal RNA". The stretch from base 1 to 120 matches the Rfam family "5.8S ribosomal RNA", at positions 35 to 154 of the family's 154-position model. The record is from RNAcentral.
GAUGAAGAACGCAGCUAAAUGCGAUAAGUAAUGUUAAUUGCAGAAUUCAGUGAAUCAUCGAAUCUUUGAACGCACAUUGCGCCCGCCAGUAUUCUGGCGGGCAUGCCUGUUCGAGCGUCAUUUCAACCAUCAAGCCCCCGGCUUGUGUUGGGGACCUGCGGCUGCCGCAGGCCCUGAAAACCAGUGGCGGGCUCGCUAGUCACUCCGAGCGUAGUAAUACAUCUCGCUCAGGGCGUGCUGCGGGUUCCGGCCGUUAAAAAGCCUUAUUUACCCAAGGUUGACCUCGGAUCAGGUAGGAAGACCCGCUGAACUUAAGCAUAUCAAUAAGCGGAGGA